GGUCUUCUUUGAGGAAAUACCCUAAAGACCCUGCCCUCCACCACCAGGCCAUAUAUAUUCAGCCUGGAAUUUCACUAAUUAGAGAUUGUCUUAGGCCCACAGAAAGACAUUGAAGAGUGUGUUUGUGCACCCCCCUCUCCAUUAAAAAUACAAAAAUUAGCUGGGUGUGGUGACUUGCACCUGUAAAUCCAGCUACUCUGGAGGCUGAGGCACGAGAAUCGCUUGAACCUGGAAGGCAGAGGUUGCAAUGAGCCUAGAUUGCACCACUGUCCUCCAGCCUGGGUAACGGAGUGAGACUUUCUAGGGUUCUGCUGCUGGGAAGCUGGGGAGCCUCAGCAGAUGGGACCAUCUUUGCUUCUAAGUCUUGAUCAUUACAAAUCCUUCCAACUACUCCUCUAAAGAGACAAUCAUUCAUUUCACACUUUGUCACCUAAGGGAGAUAGUUCCCUAUUCACUGUUUACAGCAAUAAAGUGGUCAGUGGAGUGGGAUCAUUCCACAGCAGUGAGACCUAAUAUAUCUGCCCCUGAAGGGGAGUGGUUUCCAGGAGUGCAUUCUUACACAUUCUUUAACAUCUGAACUGAAAACAGUGGCACAGGGAUCCUGUAGUCAUGAAAUCAGGGAAAGAUCAGGCUCUCCCAGAGCACCAGCAGAAAUGACUAUGUUUUAGGCAUAAGCUAGCCAGCCUAGAUAUUAUGAGCAUGUGGUUCAGCCACAGGCUCAGUUACAAAAUUGCAGGAUGUUUAAAGGGUAAGGCCCACCCAGAGUGCGUCUCCUAGAAUUUUCUCAGAGACUUUGGGAAUCACAGCCAUCUGGUAGGAGUUCCUGACAGUUACUCAUUGACUCAGGCUGGUGGUGACCCUCUUCUCAACCCUGGUUUAAGGCUGGGAGUCCCUGGGCCAACAUGCCUAAUUUAUUGCACCUAUUACUCAGACAGGUCCUGAAAAGUAGAGCACAAGUUUCUGAGCUGAGUUUGGAACUUCUCAAGAUUUCUGGGGUGGUCAGGAGGGGCUCCUUAAAACCUGUAAGCAUCAAUUUUAACACCAUUGUUCUCUACUAGGCAUGGGUGUCAGGAAGUUCUGGCACCCUCUACAGGUCCCCUGGAUUUUAAUAGUCCAGUUUAGAGGAAUGUUAAUCUUUGUGGAACAAACUAAGAACUACAUAAAAUCAGUUCCUUUGAAAAGAAAAGCAACAAUCCAAACACAAAUUAAUCUGCAUUUCCUUAUCAAUAUCUAACAUGGAAAUAGAUGAAAUCUAUAAGUAAUAUACAGGACAAUCAAAAACAUACCAAACAUCAUGCCAAGUGCCAGGGGCUCAAGGAGGAGUAAAGCACACUCUGUGUCUCUAAGGAGCUUGUAGCUUAGGUGAGAAGCUAGGGGAAUGAAUAUAUGCAAUUUUAAAUAACAGAACAACACAAUCUAAUAAGAGAUAACUCAAGACAAUGUGUGGCUAUGGUUAAGUGACAACUGUCUAGAGCAGUGCUGU
RNAcentral lists this long non-coding RNA (1483 nucleotides) under Homo sapiens (human). RNAcentral's name for it is "non-protein coding lnc-NDUFB4-5:1". The record is from RNAcentral. Lineage: Eukaryota; Metazoa; Chordata; Mammalia; Primates; Hominidae.